Molecule: unclassified non-coding RNA, 1193 nt
Filed under: Hevea brasiliensis (rubber tree)
Lineage: Eukaryota; Viridiplantae; Streptophyta; Magnoliopsida; Malpighiales; Euphorbiaceae
Source: RNAcentral
GGUGAUGCUGAUCCAGCCUACAGGUAACUUUUGAUUUUCCAUAAUUUUCUUUUAAAGCUGGGAUUAUAGCAUUAUAGCCUUUACUGAGCUUAAAGGUGAUGUUAUAGCAUUAAAGUUGGCCAUUUCCUGAGCUUCACAUUUGUAAAAUUGUAUUCAAGGUUUUGUAUCGGCAUCUUUGUGAGUCACCUUUUAGGUGAAAGGUCAUUCUCAAGUAAAACAUGCUGGUCUCAAUUGUGUUCCUUACAUCUCCCCACCCACCACCCCCAGCCCACUCUCUCCAUUCAUACACGCUAGCCUCAAUUGUGUUCUCCAUGUCCCUUGUGUAUUGCUUCAGACCUGCAGCGAUGGUAAUCUUGAUUGUCCAGUGGCUUUAUGUUUCUAGUUCAUCUUCAAGGAAAUCAGAGAAAUAAUAUGUUACUUUUCUUACUAGCUGAGGGUUUUAGUCAAAAUGAUACCUAGAUCCAUUUAACUCUAUUUGCUUGUUACUGAAGUACAUAACUGGUAGCAUCCCAACCCAUAUCAUUUAUAAACACAAUAUUACAAGACAAGUGCAUACAAAAAUGUGCAUGUGAAGCACUUCUUGUUACAAAUACAGUGGAACUACAUAUAGAGAAACACUGAGGCUUCACCAGAUGCCAUUUUCUCAAUGCGUGAAGGAGCUAUUAUGAUUACUUUGAAUGAUCCUCUGUCUGUGCUUCAACUGAUACUAUGACUAAUUAUUGUAAAUAUCUCGCUUUUCAAAAUGCAUGGCACGUUUUCCAGUUAGACUAUAUUGAGAAAUUCAUGUGCAUGGGAAAGAAACUCAUGUCUGGUGGUGGAUGUGUUGUACAUUUACAUGCAAUAAUUGUCCUUUUUUUUUCAUAACUUUUGGUAGUUGCAUAGAGCAGUCAUUUUUAGUUAGUUCUCAUAUGUUCAACAAAAAUUUCCUCAUUUAUUAUUUGUUUCUGAAUUUUAUCACAGGUGCAUACUUCUUAAUUACAUUCUUAUACAAUUCCUAUUUGAAAAAUUACGGUGUACUUUCAAAUGGUAUCUUUGGCUUUGCAUUAAAUUUCUUGUGCUAGUCACCUGAUUAUGGAUCCCUUUGGAUUUUGUUGUAAUUCUCUUCUUAGUACCUUUUGUGGAAUUAAUUAAUUUUGCCUUUUAUCUGGCUAAGUUCAAAUCUCCUGUGCACUGGGGAGAGUUUGGUAUGUGGA